CUGACCCUUGGGAACAAUUUGAUCUUUGAGCCACAUGUAAAUUGGAACUAGUACAAAGUAUGCUGCUGCUAAUGUCCCAAGAAUAAAUCGUGAAAGGAACACCAAAGGAUGAACAGGUUUCUGAACAUCUUCUGCCUUCGGACCCAUCUGCAAUAACAUUUAUAUGUCAUUAGUACUAAGGACCCAAAAGACCCAGCCAACUUUAUGUUCUUAUAUAUGAAAGUAAGCUACCUUCAAUGGAGAGUCUCCGCCGAAGGGCUUCACUCCAGUGACAGAGCAACCCAUGAUCAAGCCAUGUCUUCGGACACCACGGUACCAUUUCGGACCAAUCCUUUUCAGCUUUACAUCUUUGAAACCAGCCUUUUUAAACCAUUCAAUAUAUUCUUCCUCUUUCGGAAAGAGCAUCCAUACAUCCGCAAAAAACCGUGAUAACCAGAAUGUUGGGUGUACAGGACCAAUAAGACAGGCUUUCCCUCCUAUUUUCAGUACCCUGU
RNAcentral lists this long non-coding RNA (494 nucleotides) under Gossypium barbadense (sea-island cotton). RNAcentral's name for it is "long non-coding RNA (GBAR_LNC020009)". Lineage: Eukaryota; Viridiplantae; Streptophyta; Magnoliopsida; Malvales; Malvaceae. The record is from RNAcentral.